Molecule: ribosomal RNA, 236 nt
Filed under: uncultured bacterium
Lineage: Bacteria
Description: partial 16S ribosomal RNA
Rfam family: Bacterial small subunit ribosomal RNA
Source: RNAcentral
UGAGCAAUCUGCCCUUCUCAUCGGAAUAAGCGUUGGAAACGACGUCUAAUGCCGAAUACGACCUCCUUUCGCAUGAUCGGAGGUGGAAAGCUCCGGCGGAGAAGGAUGAGCUCGCGGCCUAUCAGCUAGUUGGUGUGGGUAACGCCCACCAAGGCGACGACGGGUAGCCGGCCUGAGAGGGUGACCGGCCACACGUGGGACUGAGACACGGCCCAGACCUCCGUACGGGAGCAGCG